GCCAGGCGCAGCGGUGCAUGCCUGUAAUCCCAGUGGCUUGGGAGGCUGAGACAGGAGGAUGGUGAGUUCAAAGUCAGCCUCAGCAAAAGUGAGGUGCUGAGCAACUCAGUGAGAUCCUGUCUCUA
Molecule: small RNA, 125 nt
Filed under: Marmota monax (woodchuck)
Lineage: Eukaryota; Metazoa; Chordata; Mammalia; Rodentia; Sciuridae
Source: RNAcentral